AGGCAGCAGGCGCGCAAAUUACCCAAUCCUGAUACAGGGAGGUAGUGACAAGAAAUAACAAUACAGGGCAAUUCUGUCUUGUAAUUGGAAUGAGUAGAUUUUAAAUCUCUUUACGAGUAUCAAUUGGAGGGCAAGUCUGGUGCCAGCAGCCGCGGUAAUUCCAGCUCCAAUAGCGUAUAUUAAAGUUGUUGCGGUUAAAAAGCUCGUAGUUGGAUUUCUGCCUUGGGCGACCGGUCCACCUUUCCUACGGGUUAGGUCGGUACCAGGUUUGACCUUGGCUUUUUCUUGGGAUUCGUGCUCACGCACUUAACUGUGCGCUGACCGUGUUCCAAGACUUUUACUUUGAGGAAAUUAGAGUGUUUCAAGCAGGCUUAUGCCGUGAAUACAUUAGCAUGGAAUAAUAGGAUAUGACUUUGGUCAUAUUUUGUUGGUUUCUAGGACUGAAGUAAUGAUUAAUAGGGACAGUCGGGGGCCCUCAAA
This 480-nucleotide ribosomal RNA is filed under the name Perkinsus chesapeaki. Its description in RNAcentral is "partial Eukaryotic small subunit ribosomal RNA". It matches the Rfam family "Eukaryotic small subunit ribosomal RNA", at positions 423 to 896 of the family's 1831-position model. The record is from RNAcentral. Lineage: Eukaryota; Perkinsozoa; Perkinsida; Perkinsidae.